This 253-nucleotide ribosomal RNA is filed under the name uncultured bacterium. RNAcentral's name for it is "partial 16S ribosomal RNA". It matches the Rfam family "Bacterial small subunit ribosomal RNA", at positions 524 to 776 of the family's 1533-position model. The record is from RNAcentral.
UACGAAGGGGGCUAGCGUUGCUCGGAAUCACUGGGCGUAAAGGGUGCGUAGGCGGGUCUUUAAGUCAGGGGUGAAAUCCUGGAGCUCAACUCCAGAACUGCCUUUGAUACUGAGGAUCUUGAGUUCGGGAGAGGUGAGUGGAACUGCGAGUGUAGAGGUGAAAUUCGUAGAUAUUCGCAAGAACACCAGUGGCGAAGGCGGCUCACUGGGCCGAUACUGACGCUGAGGAGCGAAAGCGUGGGGAGCGAACAGG